GACGAACGCUGGCGGCGUGCUUAACACAUGCAAGUCGAACGGAAAGGCCCUGCUUUUGUGGGGUGCUCGAGUGGCGAACGGGUGAGUAACACGUGAGUAACCUGCCCUUGACUUUGGGAUAACUUCAGGAAACUGGGGCUAAUACCGGAUAGGAGCUCCUGCUGCAUGGUGGGGGUUGGAAAGUUUCGGCGGUUGGGGAUGGACUCGCGGCUUAUCAGCUUGUUGGUGGGGUAGUGGCUUACCAAGGGUUUGACGGGUAGCCGGCCUGAGAGGGUGACCGGCCACAUUGCGACUGCGAUACGGCCCAGACGCCUACGGGAGGCAGCAGUGGGGAAUAUUGCACAAUGGGCGGAAGCCUGAUGCAGCAGCGCCGCGUGCGGGAUGACGGCCUUCGGGUUGUAAACCGCUUUCGCCUGUGACGAAGCGUGAGUGACGGUAAUGGGUAAAGAAGCACCGGCUAACUACGUG
RNAcentral lists this ribosomal RNA (468 nucleotides) under uncultured bacterium. Its description in RNAcentral is "partial 16S ribosomal RNA". It matches the Rfam family "Bacterial small subunit ribosomal RNA", at positions 28 to 507 of the family's 1533-position model. The record is from RNAcentral.